This 376-nucleotide ribosomal RNA is filed under the name uncultured bacterium. RNAcentral describes it as "bacterial SSU rRNA". It matches the Rfam family "Bacterial small subunit ribosomal RNA", at positions 30 to 414 of the family's 1533-position model. The record is from RNAcentral.
AUUGAACGCUGGCGGCAUGCUUUACACAUGCAAGUCGAACGGGCUGGGGGCAACUCCAGUCAGUGGCGAACGGGUGAGUAAUACAUCGGAACGUACCUCGUAGUGGGGGAUAACUCGGCGAAAGCCGUGCUAAUACCGCAUAUGCUCUACGGAGGAAAGCAGGGGACCGCAAGGCCUUGUGCUAUGGGAGCGGCCGAUGUCCGAUUAGCUAGUUGGUGAGGUAAGGCUCACCAAGGCGACGAUCGGUAGCUGGUCUGAGAGGAUGAUCAGCCACACUGGGACUGAGACACGGCCCAGACUCCUACGGGAGGCAGCAGUGGGGAAUUUUGGACAAUGGGGCAACCCUGAUCCAGCCAUGCCGCGUGCGGGAAGAAGG